This 387-nucleotide ribosomal RNA is filed under the name uncultured bacterium. RNAcentral describes it as "partial 16S ribosomal RNA". It matches the Rfam family "Bacterial small subunit ribosomal RNA", at positions 30 to 414 of the family's 1533-position model. The record is from RNAcentral.
AUUGAACGCUGGCGGCAUGCUUUACACAUGCAAGUCGAACGGACAACACGGGGGCAACCCUGGUGGCGAGUGGCGAACGGGUGAGUAAUACAUAGGAACGUAUCCUGAAAUGGGGGAUAGCUCGGCGAAAGCCGGAUUAAUACCGCAUACGAUCUACGGAUGAAAGCAGGGGAUUCGCAAGAACCUUGCGUUUCUGGAGCGGCCUAUGUCUGAUUAGCUAGUUGGCGGGGAAAANCCCACCAAGGCGACGAUCAGUAGCUGGUCUGAGAGGAUGAUCAGCCACACUGGGACUGAGACACGGCCCAGGACUCCUACGGGAGGCAGCAGUGGGGAAUAUUGGACAAUGGGCGAAAGCCUGAUCCAGCAAUGCCGCGUGUGUGAAGAAGG